GAUGAACGCUCGCGGCAGGCCUAACACAUGCAAGUCGAGGGAGGAGCUUUCGGGCUUCGACCGGCGUACGGGUGCGUAACGCGUAUACAAUCUGCCUUUCACAUAGGGAUAGCCCGAAGAAAUUUGGAUUAAUACCUAAUGGUAUAUAGGAGUGGCAUCACAUUUAUAUUAAAGCUGAGGCGGUGAAAGAUGAGUAUGCGUUCUAUUAGCUAGUUGGAGAGGUAACGGCUCCCCAAGGCGACGAUAGAUAGGGGUUCUGAGAGGGAUAUCCCCCACACUGGUACUGGGAUACGGACCAGACUCCUACGGGAGGCAGCAGUGAGGAAUAGUGGACAAUGGUCGGAAGACUGAUCCAGCCAUGCCGCGUGCAGGAAGACGGCCUUAUGGGUUGUAAACUGCUUUUGCAGGGGAAGAAUAAGGACUACGAGUAGUUUGAUGACGGUACUCUGCGAAUAAGCAUCGGCUAACUCCGUG
This 474-nucleotide ribosomal RNA is filed under the name uncultured bacterium. RNAcentral describes it as "partial 16S ribosomal RNA". It matches the Rfam family "Bacterial small subunit ribosomal RNA", at positions 28 to 507 of the family's 1533-position model. The record is from RNAcentral.